RNAcentral lists this ribosomal RNA (253 nucleotides) under uncultured bacterium. Its description in RNAcentral is "partial 16S ribosomal RNA". It matches the Rfam family "Bacterial small subunit ribosomal RNA", at positions 524 to 776 of the family's 1533-position model. The record is from RNAcentral.
GACGAACCGUGCGAACGUUGUUCGGAUUCAUUGGGCUUAAAGGGCGCGUAGGCGGCCGCUCAAGUCGGGGGUGAAAUCUUUCAGCUUAACUGGAAAAUAGCCUCCGAUACUGGGUGGCUGGAGGGAGAUAGGGGUGCGCGGAACUUCCGGUGGAGCGGUGAAAUGCGUAGAUAUCGGAAGGAACGCCGGUGGCGAAAGCGGCGCACUGGAUCUCAUCUGACGCUGAGGCGCGAAAGCCAGGGGAGCAAACGGG